UGCCUGCCACCAUUUACUCCCCUAAACCCCUCACUCCAAAACCAAAACUAUCCCCACCCAACGUCGGUUGCCACUAUCUAAACCACCGCUUCAACGACAAACCCAACACCACCUCAAGAUCAAGCACCACCACUACGAAGAAUGUUCACCGUGGCAAGCGGCGCUCUUGGGCACCCGCCUCCAAAUUCUCUUACCCUUGAUACCUCUAAGAGGAGCCAUUAAUGCAAAAGAAGCCACCACAAAUCCUAUGGUAUUUAAAGGGGUAUUUAGGUGUCGGUGACUCUAGCAAAACAAAGCUUCACCUCCAGCAAGAAUGGAAUUCCCAUCUGGGCUUGGCGAAAAAUUGCUCAAUUUUAUCAAAAUUUUCAAAACCCACAUGCAAUGGCCUCAGAGAAAGAGAGUUGUGGGUCUGAUCAUGGAAUUGGGAACUUGACUAGUGUGUAUUUUGGGAGUAAUCAUGAUUUUGUUUGUUUCCAUGGAACGUCUGCUAAAGCUACAUCAGAGGGAAAAAUUGGUGAAAUACCAGGUAGUGUGUGUACAUUGAUUGUGUUUUUUGUGUCAUUUAUAUUGUUUUAGGAUUGCUCGUAUGCUUGAUUGGGUUGGUGAAGAAUGCGAAAUUGGGGCUGACAUUGAAGCCGACAGAGGCAGCCAGCGGCUGGGUAGGAGUGGUUUUGGUUUUGGGAUGAGAGGAUUAGGGAAGAAGGAGAUGUGGGUAGGAAUUGUGGUUUUGCAUUUUGUUUAAAUUUUUUAUGUAAUAGGAAAAAUGUGUUAUGUCCUAAUUACCCUUGUCUUGUUUGGGAAAAAUUAUUAAAUUUUUAAUUUAUGGGGUCAACUAAUGGUUUUGGGGGUCAAACUUACGGAAACCAUAAUUUUGGACUUGAGUUGGCGAAUGUUUUAAAUAUUUGAUACCUAUGGUAGCACAGAUAAAAGGUGUAGGUCAAAUCUG
Molecule: long non-coding RNA, 946 nt
Filed under: Olea europaea subsp. europaea
Lineage: Eukaryota; Viridiplantae; Streptophyta; Magnoliopsida; Lamiales; Oleaceae
Source: RNAcentral